AGUGUCACUCCCGGCCGUCUCACAGCCACCCCUGUGCUGCCCGCAGACAUUUAGGCUGGAGAUAGACGUGAUGGACCGGCGUGGGCAGAACUGCAGUGGGGCCGUGACAGUGGAAGUGCGGCCAUCGAGCUGUCCCCGUGUCACCAUCCUUGCCCCGCAGCAGGACGUGUUGGUGCCGGAGGGCAUCGGCCCCUUGGAAGUGGUCACGCAGGUCCGUGCCAGCGGGGACAACGUCCGCUAUGCCAUCCUCGCUCCCACAUCACCAGCACUCUUCACCAUCGAUGAAAUGACGGGUGAGAUCCGCAGCACACGUCGGCUGGAG
This 322-nucleotide long non-coding RNA is filed under the name Gallus gallus (chicken). RNAcentral describes it as "long non-coding RNA NONGGAT002078". Lineage: Eukaryota; Metazoa; Chordata; Aves; Galliformes; Phasianidae. The record is from RNAcentral.